CAUUAACUGGGCAAUUAUGUUGUCUAACGUUUUUAUACCAUGCUUAAUCAUGUUUACUUUCUCAUGUUCUAUAUAAAAACAACUCUGCAUGCCGUAAGGAUUAUGUUGAUCUUUACCUAGACUACUCCUUUUGCUAUUGGACUUCAAAUAUUUUCUUUCCUACAAACCUCACCUAAUUAAAGGAAUCCCACCUUCCCCUCCUCUCUUGAUUUAUUGUAUUCUGUCAAAUGCUAUUAUAAUUUCAUCUCUCAUAUGCCAAAGGAAAAUCGAGUUGUUCGUACAAUCCAAGUAUUGCGAGUGUACGCUUACGAUGAUUAUAGGUUGUUGUAUCCUGGAUGGUAGGGCGUCAUAACCUGCU
RNAcentral lists this long non-coding RNA (358 nucleotides) under Malus domestica (apple). RNAcentral's name for it is "long non-coding RNA (MDOM_LNC003309)". Lineage: Eukaryota; Viridiplantae; Streptophyta; Magnoliopsida; Rosales; Rosaceae. The record is from RNAcentral.